CGGGACACGUGGUAUCCUGUCUGAAUAUGGGGGGACCAUCCUCCAAGGCUAAAUACUCCUGACUGACCGAUAGUGAACCAGUACCGUGAGGGAAAGGCGAAAAGAACCCCGGCGAGGGGAGUGAAAAAGAACCUGAAACCGUGUACGUACAAGCAGUGGGAGCACGCUUAGGCGUGUGACUGCGUACCUUUUGUAUAAUGGGUCAGCGACUUAUAUUCUGUAGCAAGGUUAACCGAAUAGGGGAGCCGAAGGGAAACCGAGUCUUAACUGGGCGUUAAGUUGCAGGGUAUAGACCCGAAACCCGGUGAUCUAGCCAUGGGCAGGUUGAAGGUUGGGUAACACUAACUGGAGGACCGAACCGACUAAUGUUGAAAAAUUAGCGGAUGACUUGUGGCUGGGGGUGAAAGGCCAAUCAAACCGGGAGAUAGCUGGUUCUCCCCGAAAGCUAUUUAGGUAGCGCCUCGUGAAUUCAUCUCCGGGGGUAGAGCACUGUUUCGGCAAGGGGGUCAUCCCGACUUACCAACCCGAUGCAAACUGCGAAUACCGGAGAAUGUUAUCACGGGAGACACACGGCGGGUGCUAACGUCCGUCGUGAAGAGGGAAACAACCCAGACCGCCAGCUAAGGUCCCAAAGUCAUGGUUAAGUGGGAAACGAUGUGGGAAGGCCCAGACAGCCAGGAUGUUGGCUUAGAAGCAGCCAUCAUUUAAAGAAAGCGUAAUAGCUCACUGGUCGAGUCGGCCUGCGCGGAAGAUGUAACGGGGCUAAACCAUGCACCGAAGCUGCGGCAGCGACGCUGAUGCGUUGUUGGGUAGGGGAGCGUUCUGUAAGCCUGUGAAGGUGUGCUGUGAGGCAUGCUGGAGGUAUCAGAAGUGCGAAUGCUGACAUAAGUAACGAUAAAGCGGGUGAAAAGCCCGCUCGCCGGAAGACCAAGGGUUCCUGUCCAACGUUAAUCGGGGCAGGGUGAGUCGACCCCUAAGGCGAGGCCGAAAGGCGUAGUCGAUGGGAAACAGGUUAAUAUUCCUGUACUUGGUGUUACUGCGAAGGGGGGACGGAGAAGGCUAUGUUGGCCGGGCGACGGUUGUCCCGGUUUAAGCGUGUAGGCUGGUUUUCCAGGCAAAUCCGGAAAAUCAAGGCUGAGGCGUGAUGACGAGGCACUACGGUGCUGAAGCAACAAAUGCCCUGCUUCCAGGAAAAGCCUCUAAGCAUCAGGUAACAUCAAAU
This 1222-nucleotide ribosomal RNA is filed under the name Escherichia coli. RNAcentral describes it as "partial 23S ribosomal RNA". It matches the Rfam family "Bacterial large subunit ribosomal RNA", at positions 418 to 1642 of the family's 2925-position model. Lineage: Bacteria; Pseudomonadati; Pseudomonadota; Gammaproteobacteria; Enterobacterales; Enterobacteriaceae. The record is from RNAcentral.